RNAcentral lists this ribosomal RNA (465 nucleotides) under Vreelandella stevensii. Its description in RNAcentral is "partial 16S ribosomal RNA". It matches the Rfam family "Bacterial small subunit ribosomal RNA", at positions 338 to 795 of the family's 1533-position model. Lineage: Bacteria; Pseudomonadati; Pseudomonadota; Gammaproteobacteria; Oceanospirillales; Halomonadaceae. The record is from RNAcentral.
CCUACGGGCGGCAGCAGUGGGGAAUAUUGGACAAUGGGGGGAACCCUGAUCCAGCCAUGCCGCGUGUGUGAAGAAGGCCCUCGGGUUGUAAAGCACUUUCAGUGAGGAAGAACGCCUGGUGGUUAAUACCCAUCAGGAAAGACAUCACUCACAGAAGAAGCACCGGCUAACUCCGUGCCAGCAGCCGCGGUAAUACGGAGGGUGCGAGCGUUAAUCGGAAUUACUGGGCGUAAAGCGCGCGUAGGUGGCUUGAUAAGCCGGUUGUGAAAGCCCCGGGCUCAACCUGGGAACGGCAUCCGGAACUGUCAAGCUAGAGUGCAGGAGAGGAAGGUAGAAUUCCCGGUGUAGCGGUGAAAUGCGUAGAGAUCGGGAGGAAUACCAGUGGCGAAGGCGGCCUUCUGGACUGACACUGACACUGAGGUGCGAAAGCGUGGGUAGCAAACAGGAUUAGAUACCCCGGUAGUC